UACGUAGGGUGCAAGCGUUAAUCGGAAUUACUGGGCGUAAAGGGCGCGUAGGCGGGUCGUUUAGUUAGAGGUGAAAGCCCAGGGCUCAACCCUGGAAUUGCCUUUAAUACUGGCGGCCUUGAGUAUGGCAGAGGUGUGUGGAACUCCGAGUGUAGAGGUGAAAUUCGUAGAUAUUCGGAAGAACACCGGUGGCGAAGGCGGCGACCUGGUCCGUGACUGACGCUGAGGCGCGAAAGCGUGGGGAGCAAACAGG
Molecule: ribosomal RNA, 253 nt
Filed under: uncultured bacterium
Lineage: Bacteria
Description: partial 16S ribosomal RNA
Rfam family: Bacterial small subunit ribosomal RNA
Source: RNAcentral